GUAAGAAUUUUUUAUUCAAAUAUUAUGGGUGAUAUUCUCAAAUUUUGUUGGUGGCGAACGGACAAAUUAUUUCUUUCUUCACAUUUUGUAAAUAAUCAUCGCAAUAAAAAUACUGAAAUCCAUAGUGGUAAUUGCCGUAGAAAAGAUCAAAGACGAAAUCACACAAAUCAGACUCCUCAAAUGCAUGUUUCGUUUCCAGAUUAGGUUGUAUUAAAUAAUAUCGUAUAAAAAGUAUCAGGUUUAAAAACUAUGGGGAAAUCAAUAGCAAUAACUGCUAAAAAUUAGAUGGAAUCAGUGCCUUGUAAAGUAAAUACUCAAAUGCAUGAUUCUACUAUUUUUUAUUGUUUGAAAUAUAUCGGGAUAUUUAAAAACCAUGUGAAAGUCUAUAUCAAUAACUGUCAAAAAUUUAAUCAAAACAUUGCAUCGAUUUAUGAUACUAUCAGCCUAAAUUGAAUGCGCACAAAAUUUCUUAUCUAAAUGCAUGAUUCAAAUAUUAUGUGUAAGUUUCUGCAGAAAAUAAAAGUAAAUUUUUUUGUUCUUCAAAAGAAAAAUCUUUCUACAGGAACUCUGUAACAUUCUGCAACAAUGUCGCUGCGAUUCUGCCACGGGGGAUCAGUUAUUGUUAUAGAUUUAUACUCAGUUCUUAAAAAUCACUAUUGGAAAGAAGUAACUUGUUUUUCCCAAAAUUUGAUUUAAGGUGCAACAGGAUUUGAGUGGUUACCCUGAUUUGUGUCAGUUUUGCUAUUACUACAAGAAUAUAUAAAACUUUUCCCAACUGAAGCAACCAUCAUUCACAAGCUGCAUUAUGCACAAUUUGAUCUUGUUAGAGGACUUUUUGCUUGCUUUGUGAAACAUGAAGCAUUUUCAGAAAUCGGAAAUUAAACACAAAAAAAAGGAUAUAGUGAACGUAAAAGAUAUAGCAAACAAAAGUAAUCAUUUAAAAAGUGAUUA
Molecule: non-coding RNA, 951 nt
Organism: Parasteatoda tepidariorum (common house spider)
Lineage: Eukaryota; Metazoa; Arthropoda; Arachnida; Araneae; Theridiidae
Source: RefSeq, a predicted model, not a curated record